CUACGGAGGGGGCUAGCGUUGUUCGGAAUUACUGGGCGUAAAGCGCACGUAGGCGGACCGUUAAGUCGGGGGUGAAAUCCCGGGGCUCAACCCCGGAGCUGCCUUCGAUACUGGCGGUCUCGAGUCCUGGAGAGGUGAGUGGAAUUCCGAGUGUAGAGGUGAAAUUCGUAGAUAUUCGGAGGAACACCAGUGGCGAAGGCGGCUCACUGGCCAGGUACUGACGCUGAGGUGCGAAAGCGUGGGGAGCAAACAGGAUUAGAAACCCUUGUAGUCC
This 274-nucleotide ribosomal RNA is filed under the name uncultured bacterium. RNAcentral's name for it is "partial 16S ribosomal RNA". It matches the Rfam family "Bacterial small subunit ribosomal RNA", at positions 523 to 796 of the family's 1533-position model. The record is from RNAcentral.